UGGGGAAUCUUGCACAAUGGGAGCAACCCUGAUGCAGCGACGCCGCGUGAGCGAUGAAGCCCUUCGGGGCGUAAAGCUCUUUCGACCGGAACGAUAAUGACGGUACCGGGAGAAGAAGCUGCGGCUAACUACGUGCCAGCAGCCGCGGUAAUACGUAGGCAGCAAGCGUUGUUCGGAGUUACUGGGCGUAAAGAGUGCGUAGGCGGUUUUCUAAGUUCGGUGUGAAAUCUCCCGGCUUAACUGGGAGGGUGCGCCGAAGACUGGGAAGCUGGAAUGUGGGAAAGGCAGGCGGAAUUCCUGGUGUAGCGGUGAAAUGCGUAGAUAUCAGGAGGAACACCGGCGGUGUAGACGGCUUGCUAGACCAUAACUGACGCUGAGGCACGAAAGCGUGGGUAGCAAACA
This 402-nucleotide ribosomal RNA is filed under the name uncultured bacterium. RNAcentral describes it as "bacterial SSU rRNA". It matches the Rfam family "Bacterial small subunit ribosomal RNA", at positions 355 to 774 of the family's 1533-position model. The record is from RNAcentral.